GCAUCUAAGGAGAAGAAGAACAAGGAACUGGAAUCAGAGCGUGGCAAGCUGCGUGAGACAAUUGCAUCUAAGGAGAAGAAGAACAAGGAACUGGAAUCAG
Molecule: long non-coding RNA, 100 nt
Organism: Dermochelys coriacea (leatherback sea turtle)
Lineage: Eukaryota; Metazoa; Chordata; Testudines; Dermochelyidae
Exons: 3
Source: RefSeq, a predicted model, not a curated record